CCGGACGAGAACCCUUCGCCAGUC
Molecule: microRNA, 24 nt
Filed under: Branchiostoma floridae (Florida lancelet)
Lineage: Eukaryota; Metazoa; Chordata; Leptocardii; Amphioxiformes; Branchiostomatidae
Description: Bfl-Mir-278_5p* (star (passenger))
Source: RNAcentral